UGGGGGAUCGUCUAGCGGUAGGACAGCGGACUCUGACUCCGCUAACCGUGGUUCGAAUCCACGUCCCCCAGCCA
This 74-nucleotide transfer RNA is filed under the name Acidithiobacillus ferrooxidans. RNAcentral's name for it is "tRNA-Gln". It matches the Rfam family "tRNA". Rfam says of the family: Transfer RNA (tRNA) molecules are approximately 80 nucleotides in length. Their secondary structure includes four short double-helical elements and three loops (D, anti-codon, and T loops). Lineage: Bacteria; Pseudomonadati; Pseudomonadota; Acidithiobacillia; Acidithiobacillales; Acidithiobacillaceae. The record is from RNAcentral. RNAcentral also lists the same sequence under 33 other names.